UUGGCGUCGAGCGGCGGACGGGUGAGUAAUGCUUGGGAAUGUGCCUUAUGGUGGGGGACAACAGUUGGAAACGACUGCUAAUACCGCAUAAUGUCUUCGGACCAAAGUGGGGGACCUUCGGGCCUCACGCCAUAAGAUCAGCCCAAGUGGGAUUAGCUAGUUGGUAAGGUAAUGGCUUACCAAGGCGACGAUCCCUAGCUGGUUUGAGAGGAUGAUCAGCCACACUGGGACUGAGACACGGCCCAGACUCCUACGGGAGGCAGCAGUGGGGAAUAUUGCACAAUGGGCGCAAGCCUGAUGCAGCCAUGCCGCGUGUGUGAAGAAGGCCUUCGGGUUGUAAAGCACUUUCAGUAAGGAGGAAAGGUUAAGUGUUAAUAGCACUUAGCUGUGACGUUACUUACAGAAGAAGCACCGGCUAACUCCGUGCCAGCAGCCGCGGUAAUACGGAGGGUGCGAGCGUUAAUCGGAAUUACUGGGCGUAAAGCGUACGCAGGCGGUUU
RNAcentral lists this ribosomal RNA (500 nucleotides) under Pseudoalteromonas sp. WH152. RNAcentral's name for it is "bacterial SSU rRNA". It matches the Rfam family "Bacterial small subunit ribosomal RNA", at positions 85 to 581 of the family's 1533-position model. Lineage: Bacteria; Pseudomonadati; Pseudomonadota; Gammaproteobacteria; Alteromonadales; Pseudoalteromonadaceae. The record is from RNAcentral.